GGGAGAGUAGCUCAAUUGGUAGAGCGCGAUAAAUGAGUCUUGUAUAAGACUCUGACAGCAAACACAAAUCAUUUUGAAUGACGUUGUUGUGGGUUCGAGUCCCAACCUCUCCCU
This 114-nucleotide transfer RNA is filed under the name Anaerocolumna cellulosilytica. Its description in RNAcentral is "tRNA-Gln". It matches the Rfam family "tRNA". Rfam says of the family: Transfer RNA (tRNA) molecules are approximately 80 nucleotides in length. Lineage: Bacteria; Bacillati; Bacillota; Clostridia; Lachnospirales; Lachnospiraceae. The record is from RNAcentral.